UCCGGAGGGGGCUAGCGUUGUUCGGAAUUACUGGGCGUAAAGCGCGCGUAGGCGGAUGUUCAAGUCGGGGGUGAAAUCCCGGGGCUCAACCCCGGAACUGCCUCCGAUACUGGACGUCUGGAGGACGGGAGAGGCGAGUGGAAUGCCGAGUGUAGAGGUGAAAUUCGUAGAUAUUCGGCGGAACACCCGUGGCGAAGGCGGCUCGCUGGUCCGUUUCUGACGCUGAGGCGCGAAAGCGUGGGGAGAAAACGGG
This 253-nucleotide ribosomal RNA is filed under the name uncultured bacterium. RNAcentral's name for it is "partial 16S ribosomal RNA". It matches the Rfam family "Bacterial small subunit ribosomal RNA", at positions 524 to 776 of the family's 1533-position model. The record is from RNAcentral.